GAUGAACGCUAGCUACAGGCUUAACACAUGUAAGUCGAGGGGCAGCAUGAUCAAAGCUUGCUUUGAUUGAUGGCGACCGGCGCACGGGUGAGUAACGCGUAUCCAACCUUCCCCAUAGUAGAGAAUAGCCCGGCGAAAGUCGGAUUAAUGCUCUAUGUUGUAUUCCGAUGCCAUCAGAAGAAUACCAAAGGUUCACCGCUAUGGGAUGGGGAUGCGUCUGAUUAGGUUGUUGGCGGGGUAACGGCCCACCAAGCCUGCGAUCAGUAGGGGUUCUGAGAGGAAGGUCCCCCACAUUGGUACUGAGACACGGACCAAACUCC
This 320-nucleotide ribosomal RNA is filed under the name uncultured Prevotella sp. Its description in RNAcentral is "bacterial SSU rRNA". It matches the Rfam family "Bacterial small subunit ribosomal RNA", at positions 28 to 339 of the family's 1533-position model. Lineage: Bacteria; Pseudomonadati; Bacteroidota; Bacteroidia; Bacteroidales; Prevotellaceae. The record is from RNAcentral.